GUACAUUCUCGAUUCCAAGUAAAAAAGAAGCGGGAUCCGGCUGAGGAUGGAUCGGACUUUGGGUCGUUACUGGAUUCGUGUCUCAUAUCAAACACGCUUCUUCCUUUGCACAAACCCUAAUUUUGAUAUCCAUUUGUCUGGCCGUUUCACUCCAAAUCUCAACGAAGACAUCAAUCUUUCAUCAUCGCAAACCCUAAUCGCGAUGUUUAUCAACGAAGACAUCAAUCUUUCUUCCUUUUAUCAAUCUAUUUAAGGUUUUCUUUUCUUCUACAGGUUUCUUUUUCGUUAGUGUUUCCUUCUGAACCAAGAUGUUUCUUCUUCCUUUUAUCUGCUUUCUCUCUGUCUCUGGUAAUUCAAAAAAGGAUGACGGCGAUUCAAGCCGAUUGGUGAAGAUUUCACAAAAUCAAUGUCAGGUUCAGAUUUACAGGGGGUUCGGCUUUGUGACCUUUGCUGAGGACGAUGUUGCAGAUCGUGUUUCAAGAAGGUCACACGAGAUUUGUGGACAACAGUUAGUCGCCGGUAGUGCUACUUCUUGAUUUUUGUCUUAACUUAACUUCCCGUAAGCUACCUAUUGCAGCUCAUCACUGAUACUUUAUAAGGUGGGCGGGUGAUCAAGAAUGGGAAACGUGCGCACAUGAAAAUAGUGUUGGGUGGAUGGAGAUGGCUGAGCCGGUUAUGAAUCUUUGUACAAAAACUAUUGAUGGUUCUUAUAUUGAAAAGAAAGAAACUAGAAUGGUUUGGUACUAUGAAGAUGUUGACAAAGAUUUUGGGUCGGAACAGGCUAAGUAACUGUUGGACUAUCUUGAAAACGUACUGUCUAACGAGGCUGUUGUGGUGAAAACACGUCAAUACAUUGUAGAUGUUAAACCACAGGAUCUACCAAUUAUAACGGUAGAUAUGCACGAAUAAAGGCUCCGUGCAGUUGAAGUCAUGGACUUUGAAUUUUGUCGUAUUGAAGGCUUUAUUUUAUUUUAUAAGUUUGUUACUGCAAUGCAGGUGGUUAAUUAUAAGGUUAAAGAUGAUGGAUUGGAUGUGAAUGCUCUUACAUCCAGUAUGAUUGUGUGUGGGGACCUUCCAAGACCUACAAACGUCCCCAAAUUUAUGUCCACGCUUUCAGGGUAGUACAAAUUCGUUAUUUCUUACUGAUUUGUGGUUACAACUAUUUUUGUUGUUCUUUCUUUGUUGUUUUGGUAUUUUCAUGAAGUCACAGUCCAAUAUUUUUUUUCUUGACAGGUAAAAUUCUGAGAUUCUAACAGCUUUGUUAUGUAUGUUAAAUUCUUCAAUAUCGUUCACAAACUUCCCAUUUUCCAUCUCUUUGGAAAUUGCUGAUGUAAACCAAGAUUUUUUAGUGUUUUCAUAUUUUUCGCCUUUUGUUGUUGAUUCGUUUGUAGGAAAAAACCUGAUUUAGGCUAUAGGUUUUUUUUCACUAACUGGUGUUGAUUCUAUUUUAGAACAAUCUGAUUUUAGGGUUUGUAAUAAAUGUGAACCUGAUAACAUUGAGGCUCCAUAGCUAAUGAAGUGGAAGACGCAGUAUACGAGUGAGUUGGAGAAGAAGGUAUACCCUGGACAGAUUGCACAGGCUGUAUAUGAUGUUGAAGAGGCUACAUUUAUUGCGGUCCACAUGAUUCUAGAAAACAAGACAAAUCUCCAUGACAAAUUUUGGUGUCAACAUGAGGAAGCGAAAACCGGCACAAAACCUCUCAUAUAUGUACUUUGAUGAUUCAGGGUAGUUACUGAUCAGUCGUUGAACUUUUUUUAACACCGGCACAAAACCUCUCAUAUAUGUAAAGGUAGGGUGAAAGGGUGAAAAAUCCCAACUACAUGGAACAAGCACUGCAAGAUUGUACCAAGGAUGAUUAUCUUAUUAUGGAAACGACGAUUGCGGCGUUUGCAAGAAUGACGGUUGAAGAUUCAAAAAAGUUGCUUGCUCCGGAAUACUACCUGUCUUGGGUUGUUUUCUCACAGAGACAGAAGUUGAGUUUUAUUUAUUUUUCAGUUGAACUGGCUUAAUGCUCAUCUUACAAAGAUCAUGCCCUAUGUUGACGAGGUCAGUUGAUUGUAUUGAAUGGCUAAUUUUAUACUUUUGUUGUGUAACGUGUAUCUGAUUUAAAUAGUCAGCUGUGAUAUGACAGGCAAAAGAUUUUUUUUUUUUGGAUUCGGCUGCCAAUUGGUGUUGUUUUAUGGGGUUGGUGGGUAUAUAUUAUAUUAGUUCUUUAAUCCUAACUUUGUAUAGGUUAACCAUGUCAACCCUGUAUGGACCUGUUUACGUUCGAAACCUGCUGAGCACUUGAGCCCCAUCUGUUUAUUUCAUGUCGGGUUUGUGUCCUGUUAUGUGGUUCCACUGCUCGAAGUUGUCGUACUGUCACAGUGUUGUUAAGUGUUUGGUAAUUUUUGAUAGUUUGAGGAUGAAAUGUCCUGUUAUGUGGUUCCACUGCUCGAAGUUGUCGUACUGUCACAGUGUUGUUAAGUGUUUGGUAAUUUUUGAUAGUUUGAGGAUGAAAUUUUAUAAACUGAGGGUAAAAUCAUGGCAUCUAAGUAAUUUUACCCUACCCUAUGGUAACAAGGUUUGUUGAAUCCACUAUAAAACCAAUUAUUGCCCCCCCAAACAAUCACAUAAUCAUAAUUCAUAAGCAACACUUUACUGUUGUGUAGUGGCUGUCUAAUUUGGAUGUAAAUUUUGAAAGUAAUCUUGAGUAUUCAUGUGUUGAAACAUGGUGACUUUAGUGUUUGGAUGCUACUUUUAGUGUAAAUUCCUUUUGAGAACUGAUUAUUUUGGAAUUCUGCUAUUAUGUGAUUUUGGAUUGUCCUAUAGGGCAGCAUCCGAUCUUAUAAAGGUUAAUGUGGAGCCAAUUCUUGAGCAAUAUAGACCAAUGGUAUUGUCUUCUCUGUCGUUUUCCAAGUUUACUCUUGGCACGGUCGCACCACAAUUUACAGUUAAGGCUAGAUGAUGUUUUCACCGGUUGCCUAUUCACAAUUUUUAAAUCUUUUAUUUCAAUUCACUGGUUAUAGUGGCUAGGUAGUUUGAUAUUCUAUUUUAAGAUGAUUUUACAUAUUCUUUGAAUUCUAAUUGGUUAUGUUUUUAGGAGUUUCUAUAAUUGAAGGUGCAGAUGAAGGAAUAACUAUGGAAUUAGAGAUGAAUUGGGAUGGGAACCCAAGUAUAAUACUUGAUAUCAAAACCAUACUUGGAGUUGGAUUGCCUGUGCAGAGGCGUCUUGGAAGCAAAGCUGGAUCUAGGUGGGCCUGCUGGUGUUUAUAAAUGGAGUAGGAUUGUUGAUCCGAAAGUGAAUUGCUUCGUUUGGUAUGUCUCGAGCGGUUGCAUACCUACGACUAUCGUUUGUAAGGAAUGUGGCUAAACUUACGCUAAGAUACACACAAAGUGCAUAAUCCUGAAUUUAUGCCCUAAACAUGAUUUGGGGUUGUUACAUGUUAAAAAGGCAACGGCGAUUGCGACUUUUGCGACAAUGACGGUUGAAGAUUCGAAAAAGUUGCUUGCUCCGGAAUACUACCUGAAUUGGGAUGGGAACCCGAGUAUAAUGCUUGAUAUCAAAACCAGACUUGGAGUUGGAUUGCCUGUGCAGGUACAGUUUAGAUGAAGCUGCAUGACCUGCUGAGCGAGGGCGAUAAAGACUCGGAGUUGGAUUCAUCUGAUCAUGUAAUCCAAAGAUCCUGCUAAUGGUUCGUAAACGGGUCAAAAUAACAAGUUGUAGACACUUUGGCAGGUGUGGUGUGGUUGAAGACACGUAGAAAAAAAUGAAGCUGUGUAUGCAGUUUUCUUAAUGACGAUUCUCAAGAUGUGUAGAAACGAAAAGGUUUUAAGGGUAUUAGGGCGACGCCGUGUAGAAUGGUUGAAGAUAUCAACGAAGCCUCUUACCGGUGGAUGAUCAAAAGAUCUAAGGUGGCGGGAAUUGAUCCGGGGAACAGGUACAAUUUUGCUGAUGGACUUUGAUUACAACGAUAUUUAUCAAAGAAUCCACCGGUAGUAAUUAAGUGACAAUACUUGCAAAUAUUCUUUUUUGAAAGAGCGAAGACCGGAUAUUAAAGAACUUGGAUAAAGUGACAAUUGUGGAGGACCCUAAUCCGAGCUUGCGUCUAAUCUAUCAACUAUUUCUCCACCAAAUUCCUGUAUCAACACCGUUCAAUAAUAUAAUUUAUUGUAAGACCACACGUGUACCUAUAUAUUUAUAAUUUUUUAUUGUAGUAUCAUUUUUUAUACGUUUAUAUUGAAAAGGUAUUUCAUAACAAA
Molecule: long non-coding RNA, 4243 nt
Organism: Helianthus annuus (common sunflower)
Lineage: Eukaryota; Viridiplantae; Streptophyta; Magnoliopsida; Asterales; Asteraceae
Exons: 15
Source: RefSeq, a predicted model, not a curated record